This 459-nucleotide long non-coding RNA is filed under the name Vigna radiata. Its description in RNAcentral is "long non-coding RNA (VRAD_LNC013876)". The record is from RNAcentral. Lineage: Eukaryota; Viridiplantae; Streptophyta; Magnoliopsida; Fabales; Fabaceae.
CAAAAUUGCCGUUCAUCUCAAACAAUCAACAUCUUUACAUGCAAAUGCCAUCAAAAGGACUUUUUCAAAGCUUGUAAUGAGGUUGGGCUAACAAGAAGAAUUGGUUUUUCUGGAAUGCAAAGUCCUUGAGUCAAGAGAGCUAUCAAAGUAUUUAACAUUUAAGCACAACUCUCCUCCUCACCAAUCUCACUUAUCCCCAACUUUUUCCCUUUUCUUUUUCUUUUGCAUUGAACCCAUCUUCAUGCUUUUCUUCUUUUCUUUUCUUUUUCUCAUGAAUUUUUCUUUUCACAACAUUUGAGCUCAAUGCUUUUUCACUUGCCUUUCACUUUCCCCCAUAAAACCCCAAACUCGAACCUUUUUAUCACAAACAAUUAAACUCAUCCCAACUCAAGGUAAAGAAUUUUAAGACAAGGUUUCACAUCCAGUUUAAGGCUAAGGUUCAAAAAGGGUAUAAUAUUU